AUGAUGAUGAUCUAUAUGAAGAAUGGGUUGAUGAAAAAUUUGAGAAGAAAAAAAAAGAAGAAAUCUGAAUGGGAGCAGGACAAUGACUAUGAUACAGAUGAACUGCAGGAGCUACAAGGUUCAGAGCUUGAAGAUAGUGAUUCAGCAGAGGAAGUGGAAGUAGUAGAUGCACAAGGAAGGAAAAAAAUGAAAAAGAAAGUGAAGCUGAAAAGGUGGAGGCCUGAGAACAUGAAAGAAGUCAAUUUUCACAUAGGCAUGGUGUUCUUGUCUGUCAUUGAACUAAGAGCAGCAAUUCAGGAGUACAUUGUGAAGCAAAGAGUGCAAAUUCAUUACAUAAAAAAUGAUAAGCAGAGGAUAUGGGCAGGUUGUGUUGGAGAUUGUCCCUGGUUCUUAUUUGCUGCACCUGACAGCAGGACCAAAGCAUGGGUUGUGAAGAAGUAUGUGGGUGAGCAUACAUGUGAAAGAGAGUGGGCACUCAAGCAAUUUACAGCAAGAUAUUUGGCUGGCAAGUAUGUGGAAACAUUUAGAGCAGAUGAGAAGAUGACACUGCAAAACUUUGGCAGACUUGUUCAAUUGGACUACAACAUGCAACCUACUAGAAGUAAGCUAGCUAGAGCAAGGAGGAUUGCACUAAAGAUAAUUCAUGGAGAUGAACUUGAGCAGUAUAAUUUACUGUGGGACUUUGCAGCUGAAAUCAGAAGAUCAAAUCCUGGCAGUACCAUGCUUGUGCAUGCAAACAAUGGAAAGUUUGAUAACUGCUACAUGUCCUUAGAUGCAUGCAAAAGGGGUUUUCUGCUAGCUUGUAGGCCCAUUAUAUGCAUUGAUGGGUGUCACAUUAAGAACAAGUAUGGUGGAGUGAUGCUGACAGCUGUUGGAGUUGAUCCUAACGAUUGUAUCUUUCCCAUUGCAAUUGCCAUAGUAGAAGUGGAAGAUACUGUCACAUGGAAGUGGUUUUUGAACACAUUGAAGGAGGAUCUGAACAUACAAAACACAGCACCAUGGACAUUGAUGAGUGAUAGGCAGAAGGGCUUGAUCAAUGCUGUCAAUGCAAUGUUUCCUGAUGCACAACAUAGAUUUUGUGUGAGGCAUCUGCAUCAAAACUUUGCAAAAAACUGGAAAGGUGAUGUAUUCAAGAAUAAAUUGUGGCAAAUUGCAAGAGCUACACAUGAGGCAGACUGGAAGAAGUACAUGCAAGAGAUGAAAGAGUUGGAUCAGGGGGCCUAUGAGUACUUGGAUGCAAUUGACCCAAGGCAGUGGUGCAAGGCCUAUUUCCAUGAACUCCCAAAGUGUGAUUUGCUUCUUAACAACAGCUGUGAAGUGUUCAACAAGUAA
RNAcentral lists this ribosomal RNA (1332 nucleotides) under Triticum aestivum (bread wheat). RNAcentral describes it as "partial small subunit ribosomal RNA". Lineage: Eukaryota; Viridiplantae; Streptophyta; Magnoliopsida; Poales; Poaceae. The record is from RNAcentral.